UGGGUAACACUAACUGGAGGACCGAACCGACUAAUGUUGAAAAAUUAGCGGAUGACCUGUGGCUGGGGGUGAAAGGCCAAUCAAACCGGGAGAUAGCUGGUUCUCCCCGAAAUCUAUUUAGGUAGAGCCUUGAGCUUACACCUUUGGGGGUAGAGCACUGUUUCGGCUAGGGGUCCAUCCCGGCUUACCAACCCGAUGCAAACUACGAAUACCRAAGARUGAUACUCAGGAGACACACGGCGGGUGCUAACGUCCGUCGUGAAGAGGGAAACAACCCAGACCGCCAGCUAAGGUCCCAAAGUCAUGRUUAAGUGGGAAACGAWGUGGGAAGGCUYAGACAGCYAGGAKGUUGGCUUAGAAGCAGCCAUCMUUUAAAGAAAGCGUAAUAGCUCACURGUCGAGUCGGCCUGCGCGGAAGAUGUAACGGGGCUAAACCAUGCACCGAAGCUGCGGCAGCGACGCUUAUGYGUUGUUGGGUAGGGGAGCGUUCUGUAAGCCGYUGAAGGUGUSCUGUGAGGCACGCUGGAGGUAUCAGAAGUGCGAAUGCUGACAUAAGUAACG
RNAcentral lists this ribosomal RNA (561 nucleotides) under Puteibacter caeruleilacunae. RNAcentral describes it as "Prolixibacteraceae bacterium JC036 partial 23S ribosomal RNA". It matches the Rfam family "Bacterial large subunit ribosomal RNA", at positions 754 to 1312 of the family's 2925-position model. Lineage: Bacteria; Pseudomonadati; Bacteroidota; Bacteroidia; Marinilabiliales; Prolixibacteraceae. The record is from RNAcentral.